UUGAAUUUUAAUGAAGAGUUUGGUUGUAGCUGGCCCAUUCAUUUGGGCAUGUGCACACCUUCCUCUUUCAUCCCACACACACAUGUGAACCUGUGAGACAGAGAUGGGGAAUUUACUUGCUGCUUUUUGGAAUACAAAGGCAAUAGGUUAUUGGACCCCCCCUCUGUCUACUCAAUUAAUAUAAACUCAAUUUAUUUUAAAACGAAUGUAAUGGAUGUAACACAUCUCAUAC
RNAcentral lists this unclassified non-coding RNA (232 nucleotides) under soil metagenome. RNAcentral describes it as "partial internal transcribed spacer 1". The record is from RNAcentral.